Small nucleolar RNA from Rana temporaria (common frog), 137 nucleotides. The record is from RefSeq and is a predicted model, not a curated record. NCBI's taxonomy places the organism in Eukaryota, Metazoa, Chordata, Amphibia, Anura, Ranidae.
UUGCAAACAAGAUCACUAGCACAGCAUGAUGAUGUUGCUGAAGCAAGGGGAACAUGUUUGCUAAAAUAAGCAUUGUCCUAGAAGAGCCUGGUCCUCAGCAAUGUGAAUGUGACCUUCGCUUCUAUGCCAAUACAUUU